This 1015-nucleotide long non-coding RNA is filed under the name Rattus norvegicus (Norway rat). Its description in RNAcentral is "long non-coding RNA NONRATT011580". The record is from RNAcentral. Lineage: Eukaryota; Metazoa; Chordata; Mammalia; Rodentia; Muridae.
UCUGGGUAAAGUGUCCAAUCACCAGGUCAAGCCGCAUGUGGCAGAAAACAUUCCUCUCCAGAGGCCCGUGAGUAAUAACAGCUGAAGUAAAUCCACUCCUGUCCCCUCAUCUGGGAAGCAUGAGAGCAAUUCCAAGACUGAUUCUGUGUUUCUAAGAAACUGAGGCCACAGCCUCUGGUCCUUUCCUUGGAGUUUUCUCACAAGCUCCCAGAAUUCCCCUCUCACACCGUUCUUGCCCUGUUCUCCCACAGCAGAAUUCCAGCACAAAAGCUUGAGAAUUUGGGCACUUGUAAUGACAGGGAAACGACAGAGUUCAGCUGUGUCCACUAGAGGGCCUCAUUUCAGUGUUCAUCCAGAUUGCUUAGAGAACUUCAAGAGCAGGUUUUUGAAGUGAGCACCUAGGAAGUUGUUGUUCUUCCCCAGUUCCCAGAUCCGCAAAUGGAGAAUGUGAAAGAACAACCAUGAGGCUUCACCAACACUCGGUGUGAAUGAGGACAUCAGAGGUGCACCAUUGCGUGCUAUGUGAAUGCAGUAUCUGCAGAGGCCAGAAGGCACCUUCAGAUCUCCCGGGACUGGAGUUCUAGAGUCUGUGAGCUGCCAUGGGGAGCCAAGCAGGGCACUGAGGGACACAGGCGUGUGGUUGGAGGCCUUGCUGGGAGGAAAAAGAGACUGCUGAAGGUUUGUCAGCUGUUAACCCAGUUUACUGCCAGGAUCUUUGCAGUUGGAGGCCUUUCCCACCCCAAGCCACCCUGUGCACCUGCAGAAGAGCUGCCUUUGCUUCUGUCCCUCGGGGCUGGGCUGCUCAGCGAGCAUAAGGACUGACAUGGGACAGCAACAUGGAGCCAGGAAUGGUCUUACCCACAGAGAGCUCCCCCGGGGCAUGGGGCUACUGCUCGCCAUGGCCCUUAUGAACGUGGUCCUCUACGUCUGCCUCGAUCAUCUCUUCAUCUCCCCUGGGCGAGCUACUGAGGACCCUCGGCGCUGCCCUCCGGGUUACUUCAGAAUGGGGCGGAUG